Molecule: ribosomal RNA, 410 nt
Filed under: uncultured microorganism
Description: bacterial SSU rRNA
Rfam family: Archaeal small subunit ribosomal RNA
Source: RNAcentral
GCGCAGCAGGCGAGAAAACUUUACAAUGUGCGAAAGCACGAUAAGGGAACUCUGAGUGCCUCCUAAGGAGGCUGUUCUGAUGUCUAAAAAGCAACAGAAGUAAGGGCUGGGUAAGACCGGUGCCAGCCGCCGCGGUAACACCGGCAGCCCAAGUGGUAGCCACGUUUAUUGGGUCUAAAGCGUUCGUAGCCGGCCGGGUAAGUUCCUUGGUAAAUUUAGCCGCUUAACGGUUAAGCUUUCAGGGAAUACUGCUUGGCUUGGGACUGGGGAGAGGUCAGAGGUACUCCGGGGGUAGGGGUGAAAUCUAUUAAUCCCUGGGGACCACCGGUAGCGAAGGCGUCUGACCAGACCAGGUCCGACGGUGAGGGACGAAGGCUAGGGGCGCGAACCGGAUUAGAUACCCCUGUAGU